RNAcentral lists this ribosomal RNA (568 nucleotides) under uncultured bacterium. RNAcentral's name for it is "partial 16S ribosomal RNA". It matches the Rfam family "Bacterial small subunit ribosomal RNA", at positions 355 to 914 of the family's 1533-position model. The record is from RNAcentral.
UGGGGAAUAUUGGACAAUGGGCGCAAGCCUGAUCCAGCAAUGCCGCGUGUGUGAAGAGGGCCUUCGGGUUGUAAAGCACUUUUAUCAGGAGCGAAACGCUGUCGGCUAAUACCCGGCGGAACUGACGGUACCUGAGGAAUAAGCACCGGCUAACUUCGUGCCAGCAGCCGCGGUAAUACGAAGGGUGCAAGCGUUAAUCGGAAUUACUGGGCGUAAAGCGUGCGUAGGCGGUUUCUUAAGUCUGCUGUGAAAUCCCCGGGCUCAACCUGGGAAUGGCAGUGGAUACUGGGAGGCUAGAGUGUGUCAGAGGGUGGUGGAAUUCCCGGUGUAGCGGUGAAAUGCGUAGAGAUCGGGAGGAACAUCAGUGGCGAAGGCGGCCACCUGGGACAACACUGACGCUGAGGCACGAAAGCGUGGGGAGCAAACAGGAUUAGAUACCCUGGUAGUCCACGCCCUAAACGAUGCGAACUGGAUGUUGGUCUCAACUCGGAGAUCAGUGUCGAAGCUAACGCGUUAAGUUCGCCGCCUGGGGAGUACGGUCGCAAGACUGAAACUCAAAUGAAUUGAC